AGUGAUUGGAAAACAGGGUGUAACCUUUAAUAGAAAGAUUGAAGACGGAGCAUAAAUAAAAGAUGAAAAUUAACAAAUGUAUUAGGAGCUGGUUUUGUCCCAAUUUUUCAAGGUUCUCAACUCUUCAUCUUUUGAAGAUGUAGAGCAAAAUUAGAGGUAGGAAAAGCUUAAUAAAGUGAAUAUUCCGAUGCACAAAGCGCAAAGUAGAACUUCAUACCAAAUAGCAUAAGCCUUACAGUUUCGAGCUUUCCCCUGUAGGCUAUAUUGAAUUGUCAUUGCUAUGCUUUGAAGCGCAGGGAAGAGUGCUUCACAGUGUGCUUGUUUAAAACAUUGGAAAUGACUUGGAAGUUGGCCUACUUCAUGUUCUUUUUGCUGGUUGGGAUUUGCGUGAUACUUUCUAGAAUGAGUUUUAUGAUAAUUGGUACUGCAUCUAUCAUCUAUUUUCUACAUACUCAACCAAGGAAAUAUAUGACACGCAGAAUUGAGAAAUUGUCAGACUUAUGUUUUAAAUUUGAACUAUUUAAGGGUUCUUCAUUCUUCUAAGUUGAAUCCUUGCGAAGAAUCACUUCAGACUAUGCCCUUUGGACUUGAACUUCAGUAUUAUUUUCAUUCCAGAUAAAAAGAAGAGCUACUGGAUUAUGUUCCUAAUAGCAAGGACUUCAACAUUUCACUUUGCACACGGUCGACAGUGUUGCCCAUAAAACCUGAAACCUGACCAUCAAUUCUAGCGAUGAACCUUGGCCUAUUUCAGGUUGUGCGACAUUUUAAUUGUAGCUGGGCAUGAAGUUCAUGUUGUUACGGGUGCUCCGGACUUUGGUUUUACUAGCGAGAUUCAGUCUCCCAACCUCCACAUUAGCAAGGUGACAGGACGUGCUGGAUUGUGGAGUUGUGCAAGCUGAUGCAUUGACAGUGGACCGUCUGUCCUCCUUGCAGAAGUACUCCGAGACGACUGUGGUGCGAAGGCCUUCCAUUUUGGCAGCAGAAGUAUCAGAGAAUGAUAUGUUGAUACUUUCAGAGGUAAGAUUUUUUUUUCUUUGUAUAUUUCACAUAAAUUUAACUGUAGAGUAUAAAAACCGAACAAACCGAACCGAACCGCACC
Asparagus officinalis (garden asparagus) is the source of this 1099-nucleotide long non-coding RNA. RefSeq lists it as uncharacterized. The transcript has 4 exons. The record is from RefSeq and is a predicted model, not a curated record. NCBI's taxonomy places the organism in Eukaryota, Viridiplantae, Streptophyta, Magnoliopsida, Asparagales, Asparagaceae.